Molecule: transfer RNA, 74 nt
Filed under: Actinomycetota bacterium
Lineage: Bacteria; Bacillati; Actinomycetota
Also listed under: 1 other name
Description: Actinobacteria bacterium (freshwater metagenome) tRNA-Pro
Rfam family: tRNA
About the family: Transfer RNA (tRNA) molecules are approximately 80 nucleotides in length.
Source: RNAcentral
CGGGACGUGGCGCAGCCUGGUAGCGCACCUGCUUUGGGAGCAGGGGGUCCCCGGUUCGAAUCCGGGCGUCCCGA